AAGUGCUGUGGUUUUUGUUUCCUCUGUUGUGGCCUAUGCUCCUGAGAUAGCUUUGGGUCCCUACAAUGUCAUCAAGACAGCCCUCCUGGGGCUCACCAGAACCUUGUCUUUGGAGCUGGCACCAAAGGGCAUCCGAGGGAACUGCCUGGCACCAGGAGUAAUCAGGACCCAGUUCAGCCAAGUGGUAUGGAAUGAUAAAAAUUUUCUAGAGAAUGUCGUGAAACAACAUAGACUUACAAGG
Phascolarctos cinereus (koala) is the source of this 241-nucleotide non-coding RNA. Lineage: Eukaryota; Metazoa; Chordata; Mammalia; Diprotodontia; Phascolarctidae. The record is from RefSeq and is a predicted model, not a curated record.